GACGAACGCUCGCGGCGUGCCUAACACAUGCAAGUCGAACGAGAAUCUUUGAACAGAACUUUUCGGAGUGACGUUCAAAGAGGAAAGUGGCGGACGGGCGAGUAACGCGUGAGUAACCUGCCCAUAAGAGGGGGAUAAUCCAUGGAAACGUGGACUAAUACCGCAUAUUGUAGUUAAGUUGCAUGACUUGAUUAUGAAAGAUUUAUCGCUUAUGGAUGGACUCGCGUCAGAUUAGAUAGUUGGUGAGGUAACGGCUCACCAAGUCAACGAUCUGUAGCCGAACUGAGAGGUUGAUCGGCCGCAUUGGGACUGAGACACGGCCCAGACUCCUACGGGAGGCAGCAGUGGGGAAUAUUGCGCAAUGGGGGCAACCCUGACGCAGCAACGCCGCGUGCAGGAAGAAGGUCUUCGGAUUGUAAACUGUUGUCGCAAGGGAAGAAGACAGUGACGGUACCUUGUGAGAAAGUCACG
RNAcentral lists this ribosomal RNA (471 nucleotides) under uncultured bacterium. RNAcentral's name for it is "bacterial SSU rRNA". It matches the Rfam family "Bacterial small subunit ribosomal RNA", at positions 28 to 495 of the family's 1533-position model. The record is from RNAcentral.